GUCGGUUGUCGCUGGUCCUUUCGGGGGCAUGUGCACGCCUUCUCUUUCAUCCACACACACCUGUGCACUCGUGAGACGGAAGCCUUCGGGCGUCCGUCUGCUCUACAUAAACUCAUAUAAUAUAAUUCGAAUGUAAUUGAUGUAACACAUCUUUAAACUAAGUUUCAACAACGGAUCUCUUGGCUCUCGCAUCGAUGAAGAACGCAGCGAAAUGCGAUAAGUAAUGUGAAUUGCAGAAUUCAGUGAAUCAUCGAAUCUUUGAACGCACCUUGCGCUCCUUGGUAUUCCUUGGAGCAUGCCUGUUUGAGUAUCAUGAAAUUAUCAAAAUAAGUCUUUUGUUCAUUCGAUUGACUUUUAUUUUGGACUUGGGGGUCUGCAGAUUCACGUCUGCUCCUCUUAAAUAAAUUAGCUGGAUCUCAGUGAGCUCGGUUCCACUCGGCGUGAUAAGUAUCACUCGCUGAGGACACUGUAAAAGGUGGCCGGGAUUGCGGAUGAACCGCUUCUAAUCGUCCAUUUACUUGGACAACAAAUACUUUAUGAUCUGAUCUCAAAUCAGGUAGGACUACCCGCUGAACUUAAGCAUAUCAAUAA
RNAcentral lists this ribosomal RNA (591 nucleotides) under uncultured Rhizoctonia. RNAcentral's name for it is "eukaryotic LSU rRNA". The stretch from base 160 to 313 matches the Rfam family "5.8S ribosomal RNA". Lineage: Eukaryota; Fungi; Basidiomycota. The record is from RNAcentral.